RNAcentral lists this ribosomal RNA (248 nucleotides) under uncultured Lachnospiraceae bacterium. RNAcentral describes it as "partial 16S ribosomal RNA". It matches the Rfam family "Bacterial small subunit ribosomal RNA", at positions 524 to 771 of the family's 1533-position model. The record is from RNAcentral. Lineage: Bacteria; Bacillati; Bacillota; Clostridia; Lachnospirales; Lachnospiraceae.
UACGUAUGGCGCGAGCGUUAUCCGGAUUUACUGGGUGUAAAGGGAGCGUAGACGGCAUGGCAAGUCUGAAGUGAAAGCCCGGGGCUCAACCGCGGGACUGCUUUGGAAACUGUUAAGCUGGAGUGCAGGAGAGGCAAGCGGAAUUCCUAGUGUAGCGGUGAAAUGCGAAGAUAUUAGGAGGAACACCAGUGGCGAAGGCGGCUUGCUGGACUGUAACUGACACUGAGGCUCGAAAGCGUGGGGAGCAA